UGGAAAUAAAUCAGCACCGUCGUUACCCAUUGUCGACAUCGUCGUCGACACCACCCACUGUCGAUACAUACGACGACACCAAAAAGAGUGCUCAUUUGGCCAAGUACAAUAACAUUUAAAAGAUUUAAAAACGUUUCAAUUUAUUGAUUUGUCAUAAAUUUUCAACUCUGAUCCAAGCCCAUUUCAACCAAUCCAUCUACAUCCCUAUUGUACCCAAAAUUUUACACUUAGAUGGGUAUUAAA
RNAcentral lists this long non-coding RNA (243 nucleotides) under Olea europaea (common olive). RNAcentral's name for it is "long non-coding RNA (OEUR_LNC005371)". The record is from RNAcentral. Lineage: Eukaryota; Viridiplantae; Streptophyta; Magnoliopsida; Lamiales; Oleaceae.